GUAAGUUUAUAUCCUUUAACUGCAAAGGUUUCACCAGAUCUAUUGAGUGCGUUAAAUCACUAUGUGAAUCAGCUGAUAUCAUCGCACUUUCUGAGACAUGGUUGCUACAGCACGAUAUACCGCUUUUGGGAACCGCUGACGCUGGGUUCGGCUACUGCGGCACCACGGCUGUUGACUUAUCGGCAGGAGUUCUACGUGGCCGCCCUCAUGGGGGUGUUGCGAUCAUAUCUAUGAUAAUUUUCUCAGUUUACAUGCCGACUGACGAACGUGAGAACCUUGUAGAGUUUACGGAAUGUUUAGGAGAAAUAUAUGCGAUUAUAGAGAGUGAACAAGUGGAUCUCAUAUACGUGUUGGGCGAUUUUAAUGCGCAUCCCGGUAUGCCCUUCUAUAGUGAACUGAGCAAUUUCUGUAGUGAACAACAACUGUGCAUAGUGGACUCUGAACUGUUGCCGGCGGACUCGUAUACUUAUGUCAGCGAUAGUCACGGGUGUGCGAGGUGGCUUGACCACUGUGUAACUACAAAUGCGGCUAGACUAACAGUUACUGACGUCAAGAUACACUACGACGUGUUUUGGUCAGAUCACUUACCGCUGGAACUAGUAUGUAAUUUAAGUAAAAUUAUAGCUAAAGAUAAUGUUCAAACUGGAAUUCUGGAAAAUGAUAAUCUGAGGGGUAUCAUAUGGGGUGAAAGGGAGCUGCCUCAGAUAAACGAGUAUCGAAACAUGUGUAACGGUAAAUUAAAAUAUAUUGAUUUUCCUAAGGAGCUAGAACAAUGUUGUGAUAAUGUUUGUAAUAAUGCUGAUCAUAGGAUAAUAAUAAAUAACAUGUAUGAGUCUAUUAUAGUGAUACUUAAAGAGGCUUCAGCUGCCAGUUAUAAUAAAAGACAUCACAGAGCAGGUCGUAUCACAGGCUGGAAUAAACAUGUCAGGGGGGCUCACCAGAGGGCGAGAGUAUGUUUUCAGGAAUGGUGCAGGUCCGGUAAGCCUAAGUCAGGCCGGCUGUAUGAAGAGAUGUGCCGUUCUAGAAAACUUUUCAAAGCUAAACUUAAGUUUUGUCAAAAUAAGAAAGACCAGAUUAAGAUGGAUAUUAUUGCCUCACAUCAUAAAUCUAAAAACUUUGUACAGUUUUGGAAAUCGACAAACAGGAUGAACCCUAAAGUGAGCCUUCCAGUAAGUGUUGACAAUGUUAGUGCGCCGAGUGAUAUCGCAGAUCUCUUUAGGAAUCAGUUCAAAGUGGAACCUCUGAAGGUGGAUGGGCGGCUGCCGGUGCUCGGUGCUGGGACUAGUGUGGAUGGUACCUUAAUCAGAAUUACACCAGCGGAAAUAUCCAAGGUUGUACGACAAAUGACGAAAGGUAAGUCACCCGGACACGAUGGUCUUAGCAUCGAGCAUCUGCAACAUGCGGGUGCUCAUCUUCCCAGGGUUCUUGCGAUGUUCUACACAUUUUGUAUUCGCCAUAACUAUUUACCUGAAGACCUCAUGAAGACCAUUGUGGUCCCCGUUAUAAAAAAUAAGACUGGUGAUGCCUCCGACAAGUCCAACUAUAGACCAAUCUCGUUGGCAACUAUACUGGCGAAGGUAUUGGACAGUGUGCUUAACACGUAUCUGAAUAGACAUAUUAACCUACAUGACGCCCAGUUCGGUUUUCGACCCGGACUUUCAACUGAAUCGGCUAUACUAUGUCUUAAGCAUACUGUUCAAUAUUACACUAAGCGGAACACGCCAGUUUUUGCAUGUUUUUUGGACUUGUCGAAGGCAUUUGACCUAGUAUCUUACAAGUUGUUAUGGCACAAGUUACGCAAUGGGACUAGUUUACCAGAUGAGGUAAUAAAUAUGUUUGAGUUUUGGUAUGACCAUCAAAUAAAUAUUGUGAGAUGGGCGGGGGGAUACUCAGACCCUUAUAAAAUGAAGUGUGGUGUGAGACAGGCUGGGUUAACGUCACCCACACUUUUUAAUCUCUAUGUUAAUGGGUUGAUUGAGGAGCUCAGCAGUGCUGGUGUAGGUUGUUCGGUGGACGGCUGUUUUGUUAAUAAUAUUAGCUAUGCCGACGAUAUGGUGCUGCUGAGCCCCUCAAUAAACGCUUUAAAAAUCCUGUUGGAUAUAUGUGAGAGAUAUGUUGUGGCCCAUGGGCUCAAAUAUAAUGUCAAGAAAAGUGAGAUCUUAGUCUUUAAAUCUGGUACUAAAACAUAUUCCAUACCACCUAUUAGUCUAGACGGUUCUCCUCUUCAGACUGUUACAAAAUUUAAAUAUUUGGGCCAUUGGGUCACAGACACUCUGAAAGAUGAU
Long non-coding RNA from Cydia splendana, 2285 nucleotides. RefSeq lists it as uncharacterized. The transcript has 2 exons. NCBI's taxonomy places the organism in Eukaryota, Metazoa, Arthropoda, Insecta, Lepidoptera, Tortricidae. The record is from RefSeq and is a predicted model, not a curated record.